This 583-nucleotide long non-coding RNA is filed under the name Gossypium raimondii (Peruvian cotton). Its description in RNAcentral is "long non-coding RNA (GRAI_LNC010121)". The record is from RNAcentral. Lineage: Eukaryota; Viridiplantae; Streptophyta; Magnoliopsida; Malvales; Malvaceae.
AUGAACCCUAGCCUCCUCUGCUAGGGUUCUCACAUUCAACCCCCACGCCGCCGUUCACUUGUUUUUCCCACCGUGCGACGUUGCCGAUUGAAAGGUAAACAAAACUCCUCACUCUUCACUUAUUUUUUGUCUAAAAAACACAUGAAAUGAUGACUAAAAACAGAAAGGACAUUCGAAGGAAAAAAAAAGAAAUAAAAACCUUCAAAAUCGUGUUCCGAUCUUUCGUGUUUUAUAAUGUUUUUCAAUACAACGUUUGCCUUCCUUUUCCUUUAAUCCUUGAUUCCCUCCCUUGUUUACAAAAUAGAUACCCUUUAUAUAGCCUAAAAAUAUAAGCCAUUUACAGUAUUUUCUCCUUUUUUAGACUAUUUCUAGUCCACUUUUGCAGGAAAUCGUGAAGAGCACGACGCGGGGGAGGCAGUUGGCCCCGAGACGUGCGGCGCCUGGGGAGUCUGAUGGAGGCGGGGCUUGCUGCGGCUAGGGUUUGGGUUGAAUUGUUUAGGGUUUCUGCUGAAAAUGUUGUGGGCUGUUUGUUGGGCUUGUAAAAAACUGAGUUGUGCCCCAUUGUUUAUUUCACACGGGCCCG